This 292-nucleotide ribosomal RNA is filed under the name uncultured bacterium. RNAcentral's name for it is "partial 16S ribosomal RNA". It matches the Rfam family "Bacterial small subunit ribosomal RNA", at positions 505 to 796 of the family's 1533-position model. The record is from RNAcentral.
GUGUCAGCAGCCGCGGUAAUACAGAGGUCCCAAGCGUUGUUCGGAUUCACUGGGCGUAAAGGGUGCGUAGGUGGCCGGGUAAGUUCGAUGUGAAAGCUCGGAGCUCAACUCCGAAAUGGCAUUGAAUACUCUCCGGCUGGAGGGUCGGAAGGGAGACUGGAAUUCUCGGUGUAGCAGUGAAAUGCGUAGAUAUCGAGAGGAACACCAGUGGCGAAGGCGAGUCUCUGGACGACUCCUGACACUGAGGCACGAAAGCUAGGGGAGCAAACAGGAUUAGAUACCCUCGUAGUCC